This 250-nucleotide ribosomal RNA is filed under the name uncultured bacterium. RNAcentral's name for it is "partial 16S ribosomal RNA". It matches the Rfam family "Bacterial small subunit ribosomal RNA", at positions 779 to 1031 of the family's 1533-position model. The record is from RNAcentral.
UAGAUACCCUGGUAGUCCACACAGUAAACGAUGUAUACUCGCGGUUUGCGAUAGACAGUAAGCCGCCAAGCGAAAGCAUUAAGUAUACCACCUGGGGAGUACGCCGGCAACGGUGAAACUCAAAGGAAUUGACGGGGGCCCGCACAAGCGGAGGAACAUGUGGUUUAAUUCGAUGAUACGCGAGGAACCUUACCCGGGCUUGAACUAACGGUGACAGAUCUAGAUGAUAGAUUUUUCUUCGGACAUCCGU